Long non-coding RNA from Haliotis rufescens (red abalone), 274 nucleotides. RefSeq lists it as uncharacterized. The transcript has 3 exons. The record is from RefSeq and is a predicted model, not a curated record. NCBI's taxonomy places the organism in Eukaryota, Metazoa, Mollusca, Gastropoda, Lepetellida, Haliotidae.
CAUGACGACAAUUUUACUGCUGAUAUCGCCAUUGCUGUGCUAUCAUACUGCUAUCAUAUCGUCUCUUUUCUGCUGUUAUUUGCCUGGUAUUUUGCUCUUCAUCGUAUACACCAUGAGCUCCUACGCCCAAGCUGUUGACCUCGUGAUCAGGUUCCCCUUGAACUUUGACAUCUGGGCCCCUCCUCGCCAAGUAGAAGAUCUGCUGCCCCCCACUCGCUACUAGUGUAUCACUGAGCAGCCCUCGACUCCAUCUGUGUAUCGCGCCUGUUAUAAA